Molecule: long non-coding RNA, 2470 nt
Filed under: Chloebia gouldiae (Gouldian finch)
Lineage: Eukaryota; Metazoa; Chordata; Aves; Passeriformes; Passeridae
Description: Erythrura gouldiae (Gouldian finch) lncRNA (ENSEGOG00005017267.1)
Source: RNAcentral
GGAUGGAAUUGGGGCAACCUCAGAUGGAAUUUGGGCCACCUGGGAUGGACCCUGGGCAACCUCAGAUGGACCUUGGGCCACCUGGGAUGGAAUUUGGGCAACAUCAGAAGGAGCUUGGGCCCCUUGGGAUUGAUCUUGGGCCACCUGGGAUGGACCUCGGGCAACCUCAGAAGGGCCUUGGGCAACCUCAGAAGAACCUUGAGCCACCUGGGAUGGAACUUGGGCAACCUCAGAAGGGCCUUGGGCAACCUCAGAAGAACCUUGAGCCACCUGGGAUGGAACUUGGGCAACUUUGAAUGGGCCUUGGGCAACCUCGGAUGGAAUUUGGGCAACCUCGGAUGGAGCUUGGGCCACUCUGGACCACCUCGGAUGGACCCUGGGCAAUGCUGGAUGAGCCUUGGAUGGACCUUGGGCCACCUUGGAUGGACCUUGGGCCACCUUGGAUGACCCUCAGGCCACUCUGAACCACCUGGAAUGACCCUUGGACCACCAGGAAUGACCCUUGGACCACCUGGAGUGACCCUUGGGCCACCCUGGACCACCAGGAAUGACCCUCAGGCCACCUCGGCCGAUCCCCUCCCCCCUCCAGCCCCUCCCGGGGGCGUCCGUCCGGCCUGGCCAAAGUCUGGGCAAACGUCCCCGGCAGCGGCCGAACUCCGGCGGUCACUCGGAAUUCCGGCUGAACUCCGGCCGGACUCCGGCGGUCACUCGGAAUUCCGGCCGGACAUUCCGGCGGUCGCUCCCCAAGGGCUGAAUUCUGGCCAGACAUCCCGGCGGUCACUCCGGAUUCCGGCCGGACGUCCCGGCGGUCACUCCGGAUUCCGGCCGGACAUCCCGGCGGUCACUCAGAAUUCCAGCCGGACAUCCCGGCGGUCACUCAGAAUUCCAGCCGGACAUCCCGGCGGUCACUCAGAAUUCCGGCCGGACAUCCCGGCGGUCACUCAGAAUUCCGGCCGGACGUCCCGGCGGUCGCUCCGGAAGGGGCCGGACUGCGGCCGGACUCGGCUCCCCACGCCGCCCUCAGGGCUCGAGCGCCUCCGGCGGCGGCGACGGCGUCCGAGCAGGGGACGGCGGCGGCGCCGGGAAGGGCGCGGCGGCCGGAGGCGGGCCGGGCGAGCCGGGCGUGUCCGGGGGCGGCCGGAGCGAGAAGAAGAAGGGGCACUGGUGGAUGAAGAGUUCGAUGAUUGUCUGGUAGGUUCUGGUGGCCGUCAGCGCGUCCAUGGUGCUGAAGUCCGGCCGCAUCAGCGUCGGCCAGAAGCAGAUGGACAGGUUCUCGCUGGUCAUCAGGUUGACGCGGUGCUGCUGGCUGACCCUGGGGGGGGACAACACCACAGUGACCCCUCGGAGGUGGACAACGGCAGAGUGACCGCUCAGGGGUCAGCAGAUCCCAAAAACCCCAAAAUACCAAAAAUUCCCAACAAAAAUGGACAGAAAAUGACCCAAAAACCCUCCAGGAGAGGUUCCUGCUGACCCUGGGGGUGAACAACACCACAGUGACCCCUCGGAGGUGGACAACGGCAGAGUGACCACUCAGGGGUCAGCAGAUCCCAAAAAACCCCAAAAUACCAAAAAUUCCCACCAAAAUAGCCCAAAAAAUGACCCAAAAACCCUCCAGGAGAGGUUCCUGCUGACCCUGGGGGUGGACAACACCACAGUGACCACUCGGAGGUGGACAACGGCAGAGUGACCACUCAAUGGUCAGCAGAUCCCAAAAACCCCAAAAUACCAAAAAUUCCCACCAAAAUAGCCCAAAAAAUGACCCAAAAACCCUCCAGGAGAGGUUCCUGCUGACCUGGGGGUGGACAACACCCAGGUGACCGCUCAGAGGUCAGCAGAUCCCAAAAAACCCAAAAUACCAAAAAUUCCCAAAAAAAUGGACCAAAAAUGAUCCAAAACCCUCCAGGAGAGGUUCCUGGUGACCAUCAGGACGACCAUGAGGUGGACAAUGGCAGAGUGACCACCUAAUGGUCAGCAGAUCCCAAAAAACCCCAAAAUACCAAAAAUUCCCACCAAAAAUGGACCAAAAAGGACCCAAAAUCCUUCAGGAGAGGUUCCUGCUGACCAUCAGGGCGAGCAUGGGGUGGACAACAGCAGUGACCACUUGGUGGUGGACAAAGUGACCACUUGAUGGUCAGGAGAUCCCAAAAAACCCCAAAAUACCAAAAAUUCCCACCAAAAUUAUCCAAAAAAUGACUCCAAAACCCUCCAGGAGAGGUUCCUGCUGACCCUGGGGGUGGACAACACCACAGUGACCACUCGGUGGUCAGCAGAUCCCAAAAAACCCCAAAACUGCAAAAAUUCCCACCAAAAAUGGACAAAAAAUGACCCCAAAACCCUUCAGGAGAGGUUCCUGGUGACCAUCAGGGUGCCAUGGGGUGGACAAUGGCAGAGUGACCACCUAAUGGUCAGCAGAUCCCAAAAAACCCCAAAAUACCAAAAAUUCCCACCAAAAAUGACCCAAAAACCCUCC